AACCUCUGUCCUCCAUGGGUUCCGUUUGCUCCGGCUGAUCUGAGCUCUUUGCUCUCGUUUCCGCCUCACUGAUCUGAUUGAAUAUCGACCAGCACUGACCUCAGACCAGCAGCUCCGCCCACCUGCAGAGGACGGCGGCCAUAUUGGAGGUCAUCAUGAUCUGGUUAGCAGACGAGCUAACGGCGCUAACAGGUACCGCCGAGUGUUUGUUUGUCCCCAAAUGAGGAGGAAGUCAUUAUCGGCGAGGAACAAUCAGAACAAGGACGAAGCUUCGGCCUUCGACACUCAGCGGGCUUUUAGUGAACAAACACUCACAGUGCUGAGAGAUUCAAAACCACGAUUAAAAACAACGAUUCAAACAUGUUCAGAGUGAACAGAACCGUAAGAGAAGCAAUAAAAGAAGGAAGAUCAGCAGGAGUGGAUGAGGAAGAGCUAAAAGAGGAGGGAAACAUCGACAAGGGUCCAAUGACAACUGAAAGAGGAAAGAAAGGGAGUUAAGGAAGGAGAGACGUUGGAGGAGAAGAAGAGAAGAAGUGAUGAAGAAACAAAGGAAUGAAAUGUGGAUAGAAAGAAAAGAAGAGAGAAAUAAGAAAAGAGUGGAACCAAAGUCCUGGUUCUGCUGAGGAAAACACAAGAACCAGCAACUAAAAACACAAACUGUUCAAAAACACAGAAAGACAAGAAAACAGUGAAGAUGAAAUUAAAUCACAUCCAGAAACACAAACAGCGAAAGAAGAAUAAAUGUUAGAAUGAUUUAAUCAGUUCAGUUUAAAUCAAUAAAUAAAUGAUUAAACUGUGAUUUCUGGAUAUUUAUCUUGUUCUCUGAGCUAACUUGACUCUGCUCCGUCUCUUUGUUUCUGUUCUGAGGUUAUUCUGGGCUGAAAGCUGCUCUGACGUCCGUCUACCUGAACAACAUAAUUAGUCUGAACCCACUGAGACUCUAAACGCCUCACAAUGACGCCGUCAGUCAGAGGAGAGAACACACUCUACAUUAUACACACUCAGAAACACACACAUACAUUAUACACACACUAACACACUCUCAGAAACACACACACACACUAACACACUCUCAGAAAUACACUCCGAACGGCUUCAGGUUGGCAUUUCGGUGUCAACGAUGAUUUCCUCAAUGAUUAUCCUGUCAACUGUCUUUAUCCAACACACAUACACGUA
Long non-coding RNA from Amphiprion ocellaris (clown anemonefish), 1176 nucleotides. NCBI's taxonomy places the organism in Eukaryota, Metazoa, Chordata, Actinopteri, Pomacentridae. The record is from Ensembl.